RNAcentral lists this ribosomal RNA (530 nucleotides) under uncultured Glomus. RNAcentral's name for it is "SSU rRNA". It matches the Rfam family "Eukaryotic small subunit ribosomal RNA", at positions 561 to 1092 of the family's 1831-position model. The record is from RNAcentral. Lineage: Eukaryota; Fungi; Glomeromycota; Glomeromycetes; Glomerales; Glomeraceae.
CUGGUGCCAGCAGCCGCGGUAAUUCCAGCUCCAAUAGCGUAUAUUAAAGUUGUUGCAGUUAAAAAGCUCGUAGUUGAAUUUCGGGGUUAGUAGGUUGGUCGUGCCACUGGUACGUACUGGUCUCACUGACUCCUCCUUCCUGAUGAACUGUAAUGCCAUUAAUUUGGUGUUGCAGGGAAACUGGACUGUUACUUUGAAAAAAUUAGAGUGUUUAAAGCAAGCUAACGCUUGAAUACAUUAGCAUGGAAUAAUGAAAUAGGACGUUCGAUCCUAUUUUGUUGGUUUCUAGGAUUGACGUAAUGAUUAAUAGGGAUAGUUGGGGGCAUUAGUAUUCAAUUGUCAAAGGUGAAAUUCUUGGAUUUAUUGAAGACUAACUACUGCGAAAGCAUUUGCCAAGGAUGUUUUCAUUAAUCAAGAACGAAAGUUAGGGGAUCGAAGACGAUCAGAUACCGUCGUAGUCUUAACCAUAAACUAUGCCGACUAGGGAUCGGAUGAUGUUAAUUUUAUAAUGACUCAUUCGGCGCCUUACG